This 524-nucleotide ribosomal RNA is filed under the name uncultured bacterium. RNAcentral's name for it is "bacterial SSU rRNA". It matches the Rfam family "Bacterial small subunit ribosomal RNA", at positions 360 to 902 of the family's 1533-position model. The record is from RNAcentral.
AAUAUUGGACAAUGGGCGCAAGCCUGAUCCAGCCAUGCCGCGUGAGUGAUGAAGGCCUUCGGGUUGUAAAGCUCUUUUGGCGGGGACGAUGAUGACGGUACCCGCAGAAUAAGCCCCGGCUAACUUCGUGCCAGCAGCCGCGGUAAGACGAAGGGGGCUAGCGUUGUUCGGAAUUACUGGGCGUAAAGCGAGUGUAGGUGGUUAUCCAAGUUGGAUGUGAAAGCCUUGAGCUUAACUCAAGAAAUGCAUUCAGGACUGGAUGACUAGAGGACCGGAGAGGAUAGUGGAAUUCCCAGUGUAGUGGUGAAAUACGUAGAGAUUGGGAAGAACACCAGUGGCGAAGGCGGCUAUCUGGACGGUUUCUGACACUAAGACUCGAAAGCGUGGGGAGCAAACAGGAUUAGAUACCCUGGUAGUCCACGCCGUAAACGAUGGGUGCUAGACGUUGGCGAGCUUGCUCGUCAGUGUCGCAGCUAACGCGUUAAGCACCCCGCCUGGGGAGUACGGCCGCAAGGUUGAAACUC